GACGUAGGGUGCGAGCGUUGUCCGGAUUUAUUGGGCGUAAAGAGCUCGUAGGCGGCUCGUCGCGUCGACCGUGAAAACCCGCGGCUUAACCGCGGGCUUGCGGUUGAUACGGGCGGGCUAGAGUUCGGUAGGGGAGACUGGAAUUCCUGGUGUAGCGGUGAAAUGCGCAGAUAUCAGGAGGAACACCGAUGGCGAAGGCAGGUCACCGGGCCGCAACUGACGCUGAGGAGCGAAAGCAUGGGGAGCGAACAGG
This 253-nucleotide ribosomal RNA is filed under the name uncultured bacterium. RNAcentral's name for it is "partial 16S ribosomal RNA". It matches the Rfam family "Bacterial small subunit ribosomal RNA", at positions 524 to 776 of the family's 1533-position model. The record is from RNAcentral.